AUUGAACGCUGGCGGCAGGCCUAACACAUGCAAGUCGAGCGGCGCGCCGGACGGGUGCGUAUUGCCUAGGUAUGGGCCUGUUACUGGGGGAUGACGAUCGCUAACGGGAGCUAUUACUGCAUCCUAUCAGCUGAGCCUAGGUCGGAUUAGCUAGUUGGUGGGGUAAAGGUCUACCAAGGCCACGAUCCGUAACUGGACUGAGAGGAGGAUCAGUAAAACUGGGACGGAGAAACGGGCCAGACUCCUACGGGAGGCAGCAGUGGGGAAUAUUGGACAAUGGGCGAAAGCCUGAUGCAGCCAUGCCGCGUGUGUGAAGAAGGUCUUCGGGUUGUAAAGCACUUUGGGUUGGGAGGCGGUACCAACAGAAUAAGCAACGGCUAACUUCGUGCCAGCAGCCGCGGUAAUAC
RNAcentral lists this ribosomal RNA (407 nucleotides) under uncultured bacterium. RNAcentral describes it as "partial 16S ribosomal RNA". It matches the Rfam family "Bacterial small subunit ribosomal RNA", at positions 30 to 526 of the family's 1533-position model. The record is from RNAcentral.